UGGCGAGAAGGUCACACCCGUUCCCAUCCCGAACACGGUAGUUAAGCUUCUCUGCGCCAAUGGUAGUUGGGGGCUUCUCCCUGCGAGAGUAGGUCGCUGCCGGGC
This 105-nucleotide ribosomal RNA is filed under the name Listeria innocua. Lineage: Bacteria; Bacillati; Bacillota; Bacilli; Caryophanales; Listeriaceae. The record is from RNAcentral.